UACGUAGGGGGCAAGCGUUAUCCGGAUUUAUUGGGUUUAAAGGGUGCGUAGGCGGACUGUCAAGUCAGCGGUAAAAUUGAGAGGCUCAACCUCUUCCCGCCGUUGAAACUGGUGGUCUUGAGUGGAUGAGAAGUACGCGGAAUGCGUGGUGUAGCGGUGAAAUGCAUAGAUAUCACGCAGAACUCCGAUUGCGAAGGCAGCGUACCGGCAUCCAACUGACGUUGAGGCUCGAAAGCGUGGGGAGCAAACAGG
RNAcentral lists this ribosomal RNA (252 nucleotides) under uncultured bacterium. Its description in RNAcentral is "partial 16S ribosomal RNA". It matches the Rfam family "Bacterial small subunit ribosomal RNA", at positions 524 to 776 of the family's 1533-position model. The record is from RNAcentral.